RNAcentral lists this transfer RNA (75 nucleotides) under Clostridiales bacterium. RNAcentral describes it as "tRNA-Glu". It matches the Rfam family "tRNA". Rfam says of the family: Transfer RNA (tRNA) molecules are approximately 80 nucleotides in length. Their secondary structure includes four short double-helical elements and three loops (D, anti-codon, and T loops). RNAcentral also lists the same sequence under 1 other name. Lineage: Bacteria; Bacillati; Bacillota; Clostridia; Eubacteriales. The record is from RNAcentral.
GGCUCCAUGGUCAAGCGGUUAAGACACCGCCCUUUCACGGCGGUAUCCCGGGUUCGAGUCCCGGUGGAGUCACCA